This 442-nucleotide ribosomal RNA is filed under the name uncultured bacterium. RNAcentral's name for it is "partial 16S ribosomal RNA". It matches the Rfam family "Bacterial small subunit ribosomal RNA", at positions 338 to 795 of the family's 1533-position model. The record is from RNAcentral.
CCUACGGGCGGCAGCAGUAGGGAAUCUUUCACAAUGGGCGAAAGCCUGAUGGAGCAACGCCGCGUGCAGGAUGAAGGCCUUCGGGUUGUACACUGCUUUUAUAAGCGAGAAAUAUGAUGGUAACUUAUGAAUAAGGAUCGGCUAACUACGUGCCAGCAGCCGCGGUCAUACGUAGGAUCCGAGCAUUAUCCGGAGUGACUGGGUGUAAAGAGUUGCGUAGGUGGCAUAAUAAGUAGCUAGUGAAAUCUGGUGGCUCAACCAUUCAGACUAUUAGCUAAACUGUUAAGCUCGAGACCGUUAGGGGUAACUGGAAUUUCUAGUGUAGGAGUGAAAUCCGUAGAUAGUAGAAGGAACACCAAUAGCGUAGGCAGGUUGCUGGGACGGUUCUGACACUAAGGCACGAAAGCGUAGGGAGCAAACGGGAUUAGAUACCCCAGUAGUC